UUGACCUCAAAUCAGGUAGGACUACCCGCUGAACUUAAGCAUAUCAAUAAGCGGAGGAAAAGAAACUAACAAGGAUUCCCCUAGUAACUGCGAGUGAAGCGGGAAAAGCUCAAAUUUAAAAUCUGGCAGUCUUGCUGUCCGAGUUGUAAUCUAGAGAAGUGCUUUCCGCGUUGGACCGUGUAAAAGUCUCUU
RNAcentral lists this ribosomal RNA (192 nucleotides) under Hygrophorus bakerensis. RNAcentral describes it as "partial 26S ribosomal RNA". It matches the Rfam family "Eukaryotic large subunit ribosomal RNA", at positions 1 to 191 of the family's 3401-position model. The record is from RNAcentral. Lineage: Eukaryota; Fungi; Basidiomycota; Agaricomycetes; Agaricales; Hygrophoraceae.